AGUAGCGAGCAGGCGGGGGCGCUGCUGUGUCUGGCCCCGCCGCGAGGCGCCAUGGCUGCCCCCAGGAGGGGUGAGCUGAGCCCGGCGGAGAAGGAGCUGCUGGCGGUGAUCGCCCAAGGAAACACUGAAGAAGCUGGAAGGCUCUUGGGCAGCAAGAAUGUCCGUGUCAAUUGCUUGGAUGAGCAUGGCAUGACCCCUUUAAUGCAUGCAGCAUACAAAGCGAAAGUUGACAUGUGCAGGUUGCUCUUGCGACAUGGAGCAGAUGUUAACUGCAAUGAACACGAGCAUGGAUAUACUGCCUUGAUGUUUGCUGGACUCUCAGGCAGCAAAGAAAUCACCUGGAUGAUGUUAGAGGCUGGAGCAGAGACUGAUGUUGUCAACUCUGUGGGAAGGACAGCAGCUCAGAUGGCUGCCUUUGUGGGUCAACAUGAUUGCGUGACCAUUAUCAACAACUUCUUUCCACGGGAAAGGCUAGACUACUACGCUAAACCGCAAGGACUUGAUAAAGAACCAAAACUGCCAGUGAAGUUAGCUGGGCCUCUUCACAGAAUUAUUACUGCUACAAAUUUGCAUCCUGUUAAGAUUGUGCUACUGGUCAAAGAGAACCCUCUAUUGGCCGAAGUAGAAGCACUGCUGAAGUGCUACAGGGUGUUGGACCUGAUUUGUGAGAAAUGCAUGAAGCAGAGAGAGAUGAAUGAAGUACUGGCUAUUAAAAUGCACUAUAUCAGUUGCAUCUUCCAGAAAUGUAUUAAUUUUCUCAAAGAGCGAGAGGAUAAACUGGAUGGAUUAAUCAAAAGCCUGUUGAAAGGCAGAGAUACAGAUGGUUUUCCUGUGUAUCAAGAGAAGCUUAUCAGAGAGUGCAUUCGAAAGUUUCCUUACUGUGAAGCUACCCUGCUCCAGCAGCUGGUGAGAAGUAUUGCUCCAGUUGAAAUUGUAAGUGUCUCCCAUUAAGCAAAUAAGUGCUAUUUUAUAAACAGAUUAACUUAGAUAUCCCAUAUAGUAAAAUCCCAGUUAUUCAAUUGAAUUUAACAUGUUUUUGUGUCCCUUGACUUAUAUUCUCUAGUAUGCCAAAGUUUUGAAUGUCCCCUGAGAUAUUUAAAAAAAAAAAAAAAAGGGAUUCUACUUCUCUAACAAAUAUAGUAGAAGUUCUGACCCCUGACAAUUGGGUUUCCUCUAGUUUCUGUUCCUCUUACUGUG
This 1197-nucleotide long non-coding RNA is filed under the name Chelonoidis abingdonii (Abingdon island giant tortoise). RNAcentral's name for it is "lncRNA (ENSCABG00000012445.1)". The record is from RNAcentral. Lineage: Eukaryota; Metazoa; Chordata; Testudines; Testudinidae.